UUCCUACCUUCAAAUCCCGAGGAAAGUAAGAGAUUGAGCGGGUACCAGAUGAGAGGAAGAUUACCAACAGGAAGAAUUGAUUUGGGAAAAUUUUCAGUCAAAGGAUACAUUCUUGAACCACGACCUGCUGCCAUUAUUAUUGCUUGAAAUUCACACAUUUUCUACUACAAGAUUAGCUAUCUUUUGAUUAUAUGUUUUUAACGAUUAGUUUUGAAAAUAGUUAAAGAUAUAUUGUACACUUUUUUGAAAGAACUUCGAACAAGAACAAUCAUCAGCCAUAUUGGU
Molecule: non-coding RNA, 285 nt
Organism: Paramuricea clavata
Lineage: Eukaryota; Metazoa; Cnidaria; Anthozoa; Malacalcyonacea; Plexauridae
Source: the annotation of a GenBank genome assembly